AGUCGACGGUAACAGGAAGCAGCUUGCUGCUUCGCUGACGAGUGGCGGACGGGUGAGUAAUGUCUGGGAAACUGCCUGAUGGAGGGGGAUAACUACUGGAAACGGUAGCUAAUACCGCAUAAUGUCGCACGACCAAAGAGGGGGACCUUCGGGCCUCUUGCCAUCGGAUGUGCCCAGAUGGGAUUAGCUAGUAGGUGGGGUAACGGCUCACCUAGGCGACGAUCCCUAGCUGGUCUGAGAGGACGACCAGCCACACUGGAACUGAGACACGGUCCAGACUCCUACGGGAGGCAGCAGUGGGGAAUAUUGCACAAUGGGCGCAAGCCUGAUGCAGCCAUGCCGCGUGUGUGAAGAAGGCCUUCGGGUUGUAAAGCACUUUCAGCGGGGAGGAAGGCGGUAAGGUUAAUAACCUUACCGAUUGACGUUACCCGCAGAAGAAGCACCGGCUAACUCCGUGCCAGCAGCCGCGGUAAUACGGAGGGUGCAAGCGUUAAUCGGAAUUACUGGGCGUAAAGCGCACGCAGGCGGUCUGUCAAGUCGGAUGUGAAAUCCCCGGGCUCAACCUGGGAACUGCAUUCGAAGCUGGCAGGCUAGAGUCUUGUAGAGGGGGGGUAGAAUUCCAGGUGUAGCGGUGAAAUGCGUAGAGAUCUGGAGGAAUACCGGUGGCGAAUGCGGCCCCCUGGACAAAGACUGACGCUCAGUGCGAAAGCGUGGGGAGCAAACAGGAUUACAUACCCUGGUAGUCCACGCCGUAACGAUGUCGACUUGGAGGUUGUGCCCUUGAGCGUGGCCUUCCGGAGCUAACGCGUCAGUCGACCGCCUGGGGAGU
Molecule: ribosomal RNA, 829 nt
Filed under: uncultured bacterium
Lineage: Bacteria
Description: bacterial SSU rRNA
Rfam family: Bacterial small subunit ribosomal RNA
Source: RNAcentral